CCUACGGGGGGCGGCAGUGGGGAAUCUUGCACAAUGCGCGAAAGCGUGAUGCAGCAACGCCGCGUGAGGGAAGACGGCCUUAGGGUUGUAAACCUCUUUCAGUUGGGACGAAGCUUUGCCGGUUAAUAGCCGGUUGGAGUGACGGUACCUUCACAAGAAGCCCCGGCUAACUACGUGCCAGCAGCCGCGGUAAUACGUAGGGGGCUAGCGUUGUCCGGAAUCAUUGGGCGUAAAGCGCGUGUAGGCGGUUCGGUAAGUCCGCUGUGAAAGUCGGGGGCUCAACCCUCGAAUGCCGGUGGAUACUGUCGGGCUAGAGUGCGGAAGAGGCGAGUGGAAUUCCUGGUGUAGCGGUGAAAUGCGCAGAUAUCAGGAGGAACACCAAUUGCGAAGGCAGCUCGCUGGGACGUUACUGACGCUGAGACGCGAAAGCGUGGGGAGCAAACAGGAUUAGAUACCCUGGUAGUCCACGCUGUAAACGAUGGGCACUAGGUGUGGGGGGUGUCGACUCCCUCCGUGCCGAAGCUAACGCAUUAAGUGCCCCGCCUGGGGAGUACGGCCGCAAGGCUAAAACUCAAAGGAAU
This 581-nucleotide ribosomal RNA is filed under the name uncultured bacterium. RNAcentral's name for it is "bacterial SSU rRNA". It matches the Rfam family "Bacterial small subunit ribosomal RNA", at positions 338 to 910 of the family's 1533-position model. The record is from RNAcentral.